GACAGAGGGUGCAAACGUUGCUCGGAAUUACUGGGCGUAAAGGGCUCGUAGGCGGCCAACUAAGUCAUACGUGAAAUCCCUCGGCUUAACCGGGGAACUGCGUCUGAUACUGGAUGGCUUGAGUUCGGGAGAGGGAUGCGGAAUUCCAGGUGUAGCGGUGAAAUGCGUAGAUAUCUGGAGGAACACCGGUGGCGAAGGCGGCAUCCUGGACCGAUACUGACGCUGAGGAGCGAAAGCCAGGGGAGCAAACGGG
RNAcentral lists this ribosomal RNA (253 nucleotides) under uncultured bacterium. RNAcentral describes it as "partial 16S ribosomal RNA". It matches the Rfam family "Bacterial small subunit ribosomal RNA", at positions 524 to 776 of the family's 1533-position model. The record is from RNAcentral.